GUAGUUCAGUUGGUUAGAACGCCUGAUUGUGGUUCAGGAGGUCGCCGGUUCGAGUCCGGUC
Molecule: transfer RNA, 61 nt
Filed under: Marinoscillum sp.
Lineage: Bacteria; Pseudomonadati; Bacteroidota; Cytophagia; Cytophagales; Reichenbachiellaceae
Also listed under: 1 other name
Description: tRNA-His
Rfam family: tRNA
About the family: Transfer RNA (tRNA) molecules are approximately 80 nucleotides in length. Their secondary structure includes four short double-helical elements and three loops (D, anti-codon, and T loops). Further hydrogen bonds mediate the characteristic L-shaped molecular structure. tRNAs have two regions of fundamental functional importance: the anti-codon, which is responsible for specific mRNA codon recognition, and the 3' end, to which the tRNAs corresponding amino acid is attached (by aminoacyl-tRNA synthetases). tRNAs cope with the degeneracy of the genetic code in two manners: having more than one tRNA (with a specific anti-codon) for a particular amino acid; and 'wobble' base-pairing, i.e. permitting non-standard base-pairing at the 3rd anti-codon position.
Source: RNAcentral